GGAUUUACGAGAAGAUUAGGAAGCAAGUAGGCAUAGAGGGAAAAUGGAGACUGAGGGAGAAGAGUACCAUCUACAGUCAAGGAGAGAGGUUCCUCAGAAGAUAUCAAGCCUGCGGAUACCUUGAUCUCAGACUUUUCACCUCCAGAAUUGUGAGAAAGCAAAUUUCUGUUGUUUAACCCCCCUAGACUGUAGUUCUUGUUAUGGCCGCCAGAGAAGAUGAAGACAGAAAUCUUCCAGUGUGCCCAGUACCUUGGGUCAGGAAGAUCCCCUGGAGGAGGAAUUCUGUGUGCAAUACUGGGAUAGAAAUGACACCGUUUGAAAAAUAAAAUAGUAAUUUUAGAUUUGUAUUUUGAAAAAUAUUAAAAAAUAAGAAUUUUAAAUUCUUUUGUUUUACCCCAUGUGUUUUAGAAUCUUUUGAGAAUUGAAUAUGCAGAAUAU
Molecule: long non-coding RNA, 438 nt
Organism: Bos taurus (domestic cattle)
Lineage: Eukaryota; Metazoa; Chordata; Mammalia; Artiodactyla; Bovidae
Source: Ensembl